UGGGGAAUAUUGCACAAUGGGCGCAAGCCUGAUGCAGCCAUGCCGCGUGUGUGAAGAAGGCCUUCGGGUUGUAAAGCACUUUCAGCGAGGAGGAAGGUGGUGGACUUAAUACGUUCAUCAAUUGACGUUACUCGCAGAAGAAGCACCGGCUAACUCCGUGCCAGCAGCCGCGGUAAUACGGAGGGUGCAAGCGUUAAUCGGAAUUACUGGGCGUAAAGCGCACGCAGGCGGUUUGUUAAGUCAGAUGUGAAAUCCCCGGGCUCAACCUGGGAACUGCAUUUGAAACUGGCAAGCUAGAGUCUCGUAGAGGGGGGUAGAAUUCCAGGUGUAGCGGUGAAAUGCGUAGAGAUCUGGAGGAAUACCGGUGGCGAAGGCGGCCCCCUGGACGAAGACUGACGCUCAGGUGCGAAAGCGUGAGGAGCAAACAGGAUUAGAUACCCUGGUAGUCCACGCUGUAAAACGAUGUCGAUUUUGGAGGUUGUGCCCUUGAGGCGUGGCUUCCGGAGCUAACGCGUUAAAUCGACCGCCUGGGGAGUACGGCCGCAAGGUUAAAACUUAAAUGAAUUGACGGGGUCU
RNAcentral lists this ribosomal RNA (576 nucleotides) under uncultured bacterium. RNAcentral's name for it is "partial 16S ribosomal RNA". It matches the Rfam family "Bacterial small subunit ribosomal RNA", at positions 355 to 921 of the family's 1533-position model. The record is from RNAcentral.